GGGGAUUUAGCUCAGUGGCGUAAGUGUCUGCCUGGCAAGCAGAGGUCAUGAGUUCAAUCCCUA
Cavia porcellus (domestic guinea pig) is the source of this 63-nucleotide transfer RNA. It matches the Rfam family "tRNA". From Rfam's summary of the family: Transfer RNA (tRNA) molecules are approximately 80 nucleotides in length. Their secondary structure includes four short double-helical elements and three loops (D, anti-codon, and T loops). Further hydrogen bonds mediate the characteristic L-shaped molecular structure. tRNAs have two regions of fundamental functional importance: the anti-codon, which is responsible for specific mRNA codon recognition, and the 3' end, to which the tRNAs corresponding amino acid is attached (by aminoacyl-tRNA synthetases). tRNAs cope with the degeneracy of the genetic code in two manners: having more than one tRNA (with a specific anti-codon) for a particular amino acid; and 'wobble' base-pairing, i.e. permitting non-standard base-pairing at the 3rd anti-codon position. NCBI's taxonomy places the organism in Eukaryota, Metazoa, Chordata, Mammalia, Rodentia, Caviidae. The record is from Rfam.